Molecule: ribosomal RNA, 274 nt
Filed under: uncultured bacterium
Lineage: Bacteria
Description: partial 16S ribosomal RNA
Rfam family: Bacterial small subunit ribosomal RNA
Source: RNAcentral
AUACGGAGGGAGCAAGCGUUAUUCGGAAUCACUGGGCGUAAAGGACGCGUAGGCGGGUUUGUAAGUCAGGUGUGAAAUCCUACAGCUCAACUGUAGAACUGCACUUGAAACUACAGACCUAGAGUAUGGAAGGGGCAGAUGGAAAUAGUGGUGUAGGGGUAAAAUCCGUAGAUAUCACUAGGAAUACCGAAAGCGAAGGCGAUCUGCUGGGACAUUACUGACGCUGAGGCGUGAAAGCGUGGGGAGCAAACAGGAUUAGAAACCCUAGUAGUCC